GCAGUCGAACGAUUAAAGCUCAUCUUCGGUGAGUGCAUAGAGUGGCGUACGGGAGAGUAACACGUAAGUAAUCUACCCUCGGGUGGGGAAUAACUUAAGGAAACUUAAGCUAAUACCGCAUAAUGCAGCGGCUCCGUAUGGAGACAGUUGUUAAAGCAUUUAUGCGCCUGGGGAGGAGCUUGCGGCAGAUUAGCUAGUUGGUAAGGUAACGGCUUACCAAGGCAACGAUCUGUAGCCGGUCUAAGAGGACGGUCGGUCUCACUGACACUGAAUAACGGGUCAGACUCCUACGGGAGGCAGCAGUCGGGAAUUUUGGGCAAUGGGCGAAAGCCUGACCCAGCAACGCCGCGUGAAGGAUGAAGUCUUUCGGGAUGUAAACUUCGGAAAUAUGGGAAGAAUAAAUGACGGUACCAUAUCUAAGGUCCGGCUAACUACGUGCCAGCAGCCGCGGUAAUACGUAGGGACCAAGCGUUGUUCGGAUUUACUGGGCGUAAAGGGUGCGUAGGCGGCGCCGCAAGUCAAUUGUGAAAUCUCCGGGCUUAACUCGGAACGGCCAAUUGAUACUGCAGUGCUAGAGUGCAGAAUGGGCAAGUGGAAUUCUUGGUGUAGCGGUGAAAUGCGUAGAUAUCAAGAGGAACACCUG
RNAcentral lists this ribosomal RNA (643 nucleotides) under uncultured marine bacterium. RNAcentral describes it as "bacterial SSU rRNA". It matches the Rfam family "Bacterial small subunit ribosomal RNA", at positions 57 to 712 of the family's 1533-position model. The record is from RNAcentral.